CCUACGGGACGCAGCAGUGGGGGAUAUUGCACAAUGGGGGAAACCCUGAUGCAGCGACGCCGCGUGGGUGAAGAAGCGCCUCGGCGCGUAAAGCCCUAUCAGCAGGGAAGAAGAUGACGGUACCUGACUAAGAAGCCCCGGCUAAAUACGUGCCAGCAGCCGCGGUAAUACGUAUGGGGCAAGCGUUAUACGGAUUUACUGGGUGUAAAGGGAGCGCAGGCGGCCUGGCAAGCCUGAUGUGAACUACCGGGGCCCAACCCCGGGGCUGCAUUGGGAACUGCCGGGCUGGAGUGCCGGAGAGGCCG
RNAcentral lists this ribosomal RNA (305 nucleotides) under uncultured bacterium. RNAcentral's name for it is "bacterial SSU rRNA". It matches the Rfam family "Bacterial small subunit ribosomal RNA", at positions 338 to 660 of the family's 1533-position model. The record is from RNAcentral.